RNAcentral lists this ribosomal RNA (426 nucleotides) under uncultured bacterium. RNAcentral describes it as "bacterial SSU rRNA". It matches the Rfam family "Bacterial small subunit ribosomal RNA", at positions 355 to 774 of the family's 1533-position model. The record is from RNAcentral.
UGGGGAAUCUUGCGCAAUGGGCGAAAGCCUGACGCAGCGACGCCGCGUGAGUGAUGGAGGCCUUCGGGUCGUAAAGCUCUGUGGGGAGGGACGAACCGCUGCACGUUCAUAGCGUGCAGCAUGACGGUACCUCCUUAGCAAGCACCGGCUAACUCCGUGCCAGCAGCCGCGGUAAUACGGAGGGUGCAAACGUUGCUCGGAAUCAUUGGGUGUAAAGCGCACGUAGGCGGCGAAGCAAGUCGGGUGUGAAAGCCCUGGGCUCGACCCAGGAAGUGCAUUCGAAACUAUUUCGCUUGAAUCUCGGAGGGGGUCAGAGAAUUCCCGGUGUAGAGGUGAAAUUCGUAGAUAUCGGGAGGAAUACCAGUGGCGAAGGCGCUGACCUGGACGAAGAUUGACGCUGAGGUGCGAAAGCGCGGGGAGCAAACA